UACGUAGGUGGCAAGCGUUGUCCGGAAUUACUGGGCGUAAAGGGCGUGUAGGCGGCGAUGUAAGUCAGACGUGAAAACUCCGGGCUUAACUUGGAGAUUGCGUUUGAAACUGUAUGGCUAGAGGAUCGGAGAGGGCAGUGGAAUUCCCAGUGUAGCGGUGAAAUGCGUAGAUAUUGGGAGGAACACCAGUGGCGAAGGCGGCUGCCUGGACGACACCUGACGCUGAGGCGCGAAAGCUAGGGGAGCAAACGGG
This 253-nucleotide ribosomal RNA is filed under the name uncultured bacterium. RNAcentral describes it as "partial 16S ribosomal RNA". It matches the Rfam family "Bacterial small subunit ribosomal RNA", at positions 524 to 776 of the family's 1533-position model. The record is from RNAcentral.